RNAcentral lists this ribosomal RNA (109 nucleotides) under Bacillus amyloliquefaciens. RNAcentral describes it as "partial 16S ribosomal RNA". It matches the Rfam family "Bacterial small subunit ribosomal RNA", at positions 1 to 106 of the family's 1533-position model. RNAcentral also lists the same sequence under 7 other names. The record is from RNAcentral. Lineage: Bacteria; Bacillati; Bacillota; Bacilli; Caryophanales; Bacillaceae.
UUAUCGGAGAGUUUGAUCCUGGCUCAGGACGAACGCUGGCGGCGUGCCUAAUACAUGCAAGUCGAGCGGACAGAUGGGAGCUUGCUCCCUGAUGUUAGCGGCGGACGGG